GAUAGAGCUACCAUGUGUACGGUAACGGGGAUUAGGUUCGCNUCCGAGAGGGAGCUGAGAAACGGCUACNNCAUYCCAAGGAAGCCAGCAGGCGCGCAAAUUACCCAAUCCGACACGGGGNAGGUAGUGACAAUAAAUAACAAUACGGGGCUNUUCGGGUCUCGUAAUUGGAAUGAGUACAAUUUAAAUCCUUAACGAGGAACAAUUGGAGGGCAAGUCUGGUGCCAGCAGCCGCGGUAAUUCCGGCUCCAAUAGCGUAUAUUAAAGUUGUUGCAGUUAAAAAGCUCGUAGUUGAAUUUCGGGAUUGACACAUCGGUCGUGCUUAAGGGGUAUGAACUGGUGUAGUCAAUUUCUCACCUUCUGGAGAACCGCGAUGCCNUUAAUUGGGUGUCGCGGGGAACCAGGACCUUUACUUUGAAAAAAUUAGAGUGUUUAAAGCAGGCAUUUUGCUUGAAUACAUUAGCAUGGAAUAAUAAAAUAGGACGGCAUGAUUCUAUUUUGUUGGUUUCUAGGAUCACCGUACUGNNUNANUAGGGAUAGUUGGGGGCAUUAGUAUUCAAUUGUCAGAGGUGAAAUUCYAGGAUUUAUUGAAGACUAACUACUGCGAAAGCAUUUGCCAAGGAUGUUUUCAUUAAUCAAGAACGAAAGUUAGGGGAUCGAAGACGAUCAGAGACCGUCGUAGUCUUAACCAUAAACUAUGCCG
Molecule: ribosomal RNA, 703 nt
Filed under: uncultured Glomeromycotina
Lineage: Eukaryota; Fungi; Glomeromycota
Description: SSU rRNA
Rfam family: Eukaryotic small subunit ribosomal RNA
Source: RNAcentral